GAACAUGAAUUGUGUUAGCUUUGCAAAAGCUAAAGAGAAUUGUUUUAUGAUUCCAUGUUUU
RNAcentral lists this transfer RNA (61 nucleotides) under Taenia crocutae. RNAcentral's name for it is "tRNA-Cys". The record is from RNAcentral. Lineage: Eukaryota; Metazoa; Platyhelminthes; Cestoda; Cyclophyllidea; Taeniidae.